Molecule: long non-coding RNA, 219 nt
Filed under: Panax ginseng (ginseng)
Lineage: Eukaryota; Viridiplantae; Streptophyta; Magnoliopsida; Apiales; Araliaceae
Description: long non-coding RNA (PGIN_LNC015067)
Source: RNAcentral
AUAAAGAUCUUGAUUAAGAAGAUAUAUUUGAGAGAAAAGUACAAUUCAACGAGCAGAUCAUUUGGUACGUAAACCAAUUUCACACGGUUAAAAAUGUUGAAUAUCCACUAAAUCAAUACAAUAGGAGUAAAUAGAGUCAAUAGACAAACAGGCAAGCAGUUGAUUCAUCCAAAGUCAAGCCGAGACAUCUUAGAUAUCAGAUGUUCCAUAACUAUCAAA